UGGGGAAUAUUGGGCAAUGGGCGCAAGCCUGACCCAGCAACGCCGCGUGAAGGAAGAAGGCUUUCGGGUUGUAAACUUCUUUUGUCGGGGACGAAACAAAUGACGGUACCCGACGAAUAAGCCACGGCUAACUACGUGCCAGCAGCCGCGGUAAUACGUAGGUGGCAAGCGUUAUCCGGAUUUACUGGGUGUAAAGGGCGUGUAGGCGGGAUUGCAAGUCAGAUGUGAAAACUGGGGGCUCAACCUCCAGCCUGCAUUUGAAACUGUAGUUCUUGAGUGCUGGAGAGGCAAUCGGAAUGCCGGGUGUAGCGGUGAAAUGCGUAGAUAUACGGAGGAACACCAGUGGCGAAGGCGGAUUGCUGGACAGUAACUGACGCUGAGGCGCGAAAGCGUGGGGAGCAAACAGG
RNAcentral lists this ribosomal RNA (407 nucleotides) under Acidobacteriota bacterium. Its description in RNAcentral is "Acidobacteria bacterium partial 16S ribosomal RNA". It matches the Rfam family "Bacterial small subunit ribosomal RNA", at positions 355 to 776 of the family's 1533-position model. The record is from RNAcentral. Lineage: Bacteria; Pseudomonadati; Acidobacteriota.